RNAcentral lists this long non-coding RNA (895 nucleotides) under Homo sapiens (human). RNAcentral's name for it is "HSALNT0366226". Lineage: Eukaryota; Metazoa; Chordata; Mammalia; Primates; Hominidae. The record is from RNAcentral.
UCCAUGACAGCAAGGUGCAAGCGGAGAUAAGACAACCACCUGGGUCAGGAACUUGUAGAGAGGAUUCCUACAUGGAGUGGGAGACUGAAAUAAUAACCUCAAAGAUGCCUUCCAAUCAGAAGAUUUGGUGAUUCUUUCUGAGUUAUCAAACUGCCUUCCUUUGACCUUGCUCACAUGUAGAAAUCCAAGUCAGGAAACCCUGCUAUCACACGGAAGCAAGCCUAGGUUAGCCUCCUAAAGAAUCACAAAAAGAAAGACCCUAGCUGUCUGAAUGAUCUGAGCUAAGUCCCCAGACGUGCAAGUGUGGCCAUCCUAGACCACUGAGCUCCAGCCAAGCCAGCUUGCAUCAGAAGAACUGUCCAGAAAACUCACAGAAUCAUAAGAAAUAAUGCAGCGCAGCUUAACUUGGACUCACCACCUAUCAAGUGCUCGACAGCCACGUGUGCAGUGGUUCCUACGUGGAGCAGCAUACAUCCAGAGAUGCAAAUAUUAAUGAGGACAGUGCUAGUAACAGAGUUGCUGAGCAAUCUAUGUCCCCUUGUAAGAACCAGUGCCCCAGGGGAAGAAACAGAACUCCACAAGGUAGCAGUGUGGGUGUAGUACCCGCAUGUGCCCAUGUUAUGGGAAUGUAGAUGGGGAGUGACCACCGCCAACAGAAGUGUGGCCAUCUUGCCCGAGAUGCCUGAGGACCUCCUAUUUUUAGAUGCUGCUGCCCAAGGCCUGUAUUUCAUGCUAUGGCUUUUGUCAUUUGAAUUAUCAGUAGCUGUCUCGGAGCUAUUACGCUUCACUGGGCCCUGGAGGAUAUUGUCUUAUACAGUCCACUGGGUUUUGGAUAUGCAGUCUGUGCCUUUCAUUGCCUUCCUGGAAAAUAAUAACUAAACUCUUCCUCACCAGG